This 683-nucleotide ribosomal RNA is filed under the name Campylobacter jejuni. Its description in RNAcentral is "bacterial SSU rRNA". It matches the Rfam family "Bacterial small subunit ribosomal RNA", at positions 847 to 1533 of the family's 1533-position model. Lineage: Bacteria; Pseudomonadati; Campylobacterota; Epsilonproteobacteria; Campylobacterales; Campylobacteraceae. RNAcentral also lists the same sequence under 1 other name. The record is from RNAcentral.
UGCAGCUAACGCAUUAAGUGUACCGCCUGGGGAGUACGGUCGCAAGAUUAAAACUCAAAGGAAUAGACGGGGACCCGCACAAGCGGUGGAGCAUGUGGUUUAAUUCGAAGAUACGCGAAGAACCUUACCUGGGCUUGAUAUCCUAAGAACCUUUUAGAGAUAAGAGGGUGCUAGCUUGCUAGAACUUAGAGACAGGUGCUGCACGGCUGUCGUCAGCUCGUGUCGUGAGAUGUUGGGUUAAGUCCCGCAACGAGCGCAACCCACGUAUUUAGUUGCUAACGGUUCGGCCGAGCACUCUAAAUAGACUGCCUUCGUAAGGAGGAGGAAGGUGUGGACGACGUCAAGUCAUCAUGGCCCUUAUGCCCAGGGCGACACACGUGCUACAAUGGCAUAUACAAUGAGACGCAAUACCGCGAGGUGGAGCAAAUCUAUAAAAUAUGUCCCAGUUCGGAUUGUUCUCUGCAACUCGAGAGCAUGAAGCCGGAAUCGCUAGUAAUCGUAGAUCAGCCAUGCUACGGUGAAUACGUUCCCGGGUCUUGUACUCACCGCCCGUCACACCAUGGGAGUUGAUUUCACUCGAAGCCGGAAUACUAAACUAGUUACCGUCCACAGUGGAAUCAGCGACUGGGGUGAAGUCGUAACAAGGUAACCGUAGGAGAACCUGCGGUUGGAUCACCUCCUUU